AUUUUUCAACAGCAGCUUCCGACCUCGGGCUUACCCCUCCUAACCUAUGUCAGCAAAUCGCUCCGCAGUUCGCAAAGUAGGAUCUGGGUUUACGGCCUGUGCCAUCCAUCUGCAAAUCCUGUGGCUUCUACAUCCACAAAUGUCCAGAAUCCACCCGCUUCUCCCUACGGCCACGGAUACCGGCAUUAUCAAAGGGCGUCAUCUCUCAACUGAAUUACCGAAAUAGUCUCUUACUUGGCCGUGGUUGCCCCCUCUAGUCUCUUCUGAACACAAUAGCUGUACUGAUCUCUUUAAAAGAUGUUCUGCUUUUGUUUACCUGAUGUUCCCUCCGACGAAUCCUGAGAUACUGUCAUUUUCAUAUUGUUUAUCUAUAAGUGGCACAUACACUUGAGAGAUCGUAAUAUCAAGAAUCCUCUUCUUCUGGGUCCCUGUGCUGAACUGUUGCCCCAAAUAAACCAGACUAACUAAUUCAUCUGAAAGUUCUGGGAGGAAGAUUUUUAUAGAUAAGGAAACUGAGGCUUCAAGUAAA
This is a long non-coding RNA of Herpailurus yagouaroundi (jaguarundi), 529 nucleotides long. RefSeq lists it as uncharacterized. NCBI's taxonomy places the organism in Eukaryota, Metazoa, Chordata, Mammalia, Carnivora, Felidae. The transcript has 4 exons. The record is from RefSeq and is a predicted model, not a curated record.